GGGGUUGUGGCUCAGCAGUAGAGCACUCACCUAGCAUGUGUAAGGCCCUGGGUUCAAUCCUCAGCACCA
RNAcentral lists this transfer RNA (69 nucleotides) under Marmota marmota marmota (Alpine marmot). It matches the Rfam family "tRNA". From Rfam's summary of the family: Transfer RNA (tRNA) molecules are approximately 80 nucleotides in length. Their secondary structure includes four short double-helical elements and three loops (D, anti-codon, and T loops). The record is from Rfam by way of RNAcentral. RNAcentral also lists the same sequence under 2 other names. Lineage: Eukaryota; Metazoa; Chordata; Mammalia; Rodentia; Sciuridae.